This 897-nucleotide long non-coding RNA is filed under the name Pan troglodytes (chimpanzee). RNAcentral describes it as "long non-coding RNA NONPTRT008485". Lineage: Eukaryota; Metazoa; Chordata; Mammalia; Primates; Hominidae. The record is from RNAcentral.
CGCUGGGUCUGCAGAUGCCAUCCAGGCGCACGGCGGGUAUAGUGGUUCCGCAACCUUGGGAUGUUCGGCCGAGCGCCUGCCUAACAUGGGAGCGCCUGCCUAACCCUCCUGACUGGAGGGUCAGCGGCGGGGAGUCCUGGCCUUCAAUCGGCCAUCGCCACGGCAGAAACUGGGGCCCGGGCCUUCCCCGUCCGUCCACAGGUCUCAUGGGCGCCCGGACUGGGGCUGAUGUAGUUUCCCGACCUCUGACACAUAGAAUCUGGAGAUUAAAGCUGCUCUGCUAAUAAUUAGGUUCCCACCUCUCAAGAUCAUUAGGAGCUUCUUUUCCAAUUUCUCUGUUUUGCAUGCAUUGGAAGGAUCUGGAGCUCAGGACCCACUACCUCCCCGGCCCACUGCAAGCUUGAACAUUUGAUGGUGGACACCCCUCCCUGACUUUGUAUUAUGGUCCAGAUUUUGGAUGAAUCUCUAUAAUGGAGAUUGAACAGUGUCACUGGCGUGGGGGUUACCUUCCCACUAUGUCCCCCAGAAGACAUGAGGCCACAGACUGCAGUGCCCGUGGACAGAGGAGCUGUGGGGAUGGAAGUGUGAUUGCUUCAUUCAAAUGCACGCCCCGGUGCGUGUGCGUCUCUUCUGAUGCAGCGCCCCAUGGAUACCCCAUCAGCCUGAGUCUCUUAAAGGCCUUUAUACACACAUGUCUACACAUAGGGAUUUGGAUUAUCUCGGGAUCCCACAUCCUCGCUGUCCCCUGUCCCCCCGCAACAUCCCCCACCAAUACCUUUCUGAAGUUUUCUAGUCCCUCCUUUUUGUUUGUGCUCCUUAAAGCCCAGCCCCAUGCCUGACUUUGGUUCCCAGUGAGCAUUGUACAUUUGUGGAUAUUAAAUCUUUGGCAAAGUCAUU